GGAGAGAGAGAGAGAGAUUCCUGUAGAAUACAAGACAAGACUAUCACAAUGAGCUGAAAUGUUGGGUCUGUGAAAGUAAUGAGAAGCACAGUGGAAAUAAGUUUCUGAAGGAUGGAAGAGGCUGGAGGCUGGCUAGUGGGAGAAGGUUCCCAGACACGUGAGAGACCCAGCAACAGAGUGCCACAUCAUUGUUAUUCCCCCAAGAUCCUGGAUUCCAGACAGCCCAGUGGAGCACCAUAGAAAGAACUUUCAGGAAGCAGAGAAUGGUUCAGGGAUUCUGAUUUUCCUGAACUUCCUCCUCCCUAUCCACCUCCAAUUAGGAAAAAAGAAGAAAAAAAAGAUUAAACACGUCCAGAAUGUUAAAAAUCCAGUAGGGAUUUUAAAUGUUCACUAUUACAGCACAUACAUUUAUACACAAGGAGGUCUGAAGGCUUUCUGGUUUCAAUUAAGAUUAUUAUCUCCUUUGAGUGAUGGUUUCUCCUUUUUUCCCCCAGAAUUCCCUUUGGCUGAUCUAUUUUAAAAGAGUAUGAGCUAGGGAUAACUAGGCUUAUUUGUAUUGAGUCUACUUUCCCCUCCAGGUCUCUUUGUCUUAAAUUCUGAAGUCCCUUUUCCUAUCCUGCUAAAGGUUAGCAGCUUGAAAUCAAGGACAUGAGUCAUUGUUACUUUUCAUGUGGAAGAUAAGCUCUGUGGCUUUUAUAGCAAAAA
Long non-coding RNA from Homo sapiens (human), 705 nucleotides. Lineage: Eukaryota; Metazoa; Chordata; Mammalia; Primates; Hominidae. The record is from Ensembl.